AGCAGCAUGGCGCAGGGGUUAGCGCGCGGGGCUCAUAACCCCAAGGUCACUUGAUCGAAACAAGUUGCUGCUA
This 73-nucleotide transfer RNA is filed under the name Phlebopus sp. FC_14. It matches the Rfam family "tRNA". Rfam says of the family: Transfer RNA (tRNA) molecules are approximately 80 nucleotides in length. Their secondary structure includes four short double-helical elements and three loops (D, anti-codon, and T loops). Further hydrogen bonds mediate the characteristic L-shaped molecular structure. tRNAs have two regions of fundamental functional importance: the anti-codon, which is responsible for specific mRNA codon recognition, and the 3' end, to which the tRNAs corresponding amino acid is attached (by aminoacyl-tRNA synthetases). tRNAs cope with the degeneracy of the genetic code in two manners: having more than one tRNA (with a specific anti-codon) for a particular amino acid; and 'wobble' base-pairing, i.e. permitting non-standard base-pairing at the 3rd anti-codon position. The record is from Rfam by way of RNAcentral. Lineage: Eukaryota; Fungi; Basidiomycota; Agaricomycetes; Boletales; Boletinellaceae.